UGCCAGCCGCCGCGGUAAGACGAGGGGUCCUAGCGUUGCUCGGAAUCAUUGGGCGUAAAGCGGGUGUAGGUGGCUUUGUAAGUCAGAAGUGAAAGCCCCAGGCUCAACCUGGGAAGUGCUUUUGAUACUGCAGAGCUUGAGUGUGGGAGAGGAUGGCGGAAUUCCUGGUGUAGUGGUGAAAUACGUAGAUAUCAGGAGGAACAUCGGUGGCGAAGGCGGCUAUCUGGCCCAACACUGACACUCAGACCCGAAAGCGUGGGGAGCAAACAGGAUUAGAUA
RNAcentral lists this ribosomal RNA (279 nucleotides) under uncultured bacterium. RNAcentral describes it as "partial 16S ribosomal RNA". It matches the Rfam family "Bacterial small subunit ribosomal RNA", at positions 506 to 784 of the family's 1533-position model. The record is from RNAcentral.